This 508-nucleotide ribosomal RNA is filed under the name uncultured bacterium. RNAcentral's name for it is "partial 16S ribosomal RNA". It matches the Rfam family "Bacterial small subunit ribosomal RNA", at positions 28 to 523 of the family's 1533-position model. The record is from RNAcentral.
GAUGAACGCUAGCUACAGGCUUAACACAUGCAAGUCGAGGGGAAACGAUAGAGAAAGCUUGCUUUUUCUAGGCGUCGACCGGCGCACGGGUGAGUAACGCGUAUCCAACCUGCCCACCACUUGGGGAUAACCUUGCGAAAGUAAGACUAAUACCCAAUGAUAUCUCAAGAAGACAUCUGAAUGAGAUUAAAGAUUUAUCGGUGAUGGAUGGGGAUGCGUCUGAUUAGCUUGUUGGCGGGGUAACGGCCCACCAAGGCGACGAUCAGUAGGGGUUCUGAGAGGAAGGUCCCCCACAUUGGAACUGGGACACGGUCCAAACUCCUACGGGAGGCAGCAGUGAGGAAUAUUGGUCAAUGGGCGAGAGCCUGAACCAGCCAAGUAGCGUGCAGGAUGACGGCCCUAUGGGUUGUAAACUGCUUUUAUAAGGGAAUAAAGUGAGUCUCGUGAGACUUUUUGCAUGUACCUUAUGAAUAAGGACCGGCUAAUUCCGUGCCAGCCGCCGCAGUAA